Molecule: long non-coding RNA, 731 nt
Organism: Bactrocera dorsalis (oriental fruit fly)
Lineage: Eukaryota; Metazoa; Arthropoda; Insecta; Diptera; Tephritidae
Exons: 2
Source: RefSeq, a predicted model, not a curated record
ACAUAUAACUUAUAUAUAUGUACAUAUAUACAUAUAUACGUCAAUAAACAAAUAACUGCGUCUGCUAUUGAUUGACGACCCCGGCAAAAGUCCGCAAGCAUUUAAAGUAAUAUUCCACUUAUUAUUUGUUACCGCACACGCACACACACACACAGCCACACGGCUUGCUUGUAAAAUGUUUUUAACGUUGUGAAAAUUCAAUUUUUUCGCUAUUAAUAAAACGGCGACUUUUUUGUUAGGAAAGUAGCAAGUGUUUGUGCGGUCCAAUAAGCAGAGUUGUGGCAACAUAUGGCAAACAUUUUGGCUGCCACAAACGCCCGGCCAGCGCUUUGCACGCGCCUAACGGAUACUCAGUUGACUUUGCUUGUGGAAAAGUUCAAGUGUAGCAUUUUUCCUGCCGUCCGACAAAAGAAGAAAGCAAAUUUUGUAAAAAAAAACCAAAAACGAAAUUGAAAUAAAAAUAAAUUUGUGUAUUGUGCCGUUAUGUGUGGCUUUCGAAACGUUUGUGUUUGCAGCGAAAUUUAAGUGAAAUACACACAUACACACUUUUUCAGCAUCUGUAUGUUCCAUUGGCCGACGCAUUUUGUUUAUCUUUGGCCGCCUGCAAAAAGUCAGAAGGCGGCGGCAACAAAGCGUAGCCAGCGAGCAGACACUUGUUUUACAUGCGAGCAUAGAGGUGUGUCUGUGUGCGCCCAGAAAACAGCUCUACCUGCACGCCAACUGAAAUGCGA